RNAcentral lists this small RNA (17 nucleotides) under Arabidopsis thaliana (thale cress). Its description in RNAcentral is "ATSL232930". The record is from RNAcentral. Lineage: Eukaryota; Viridiplantae; Streptophyta; Magnoliopsida; Brassicales; Brassicaceae.
CCCAAACCAUCAUAUUC